Molecule: non-coding RNA, 858 nt
Organism: Cinara cedri
Lineage: Eukaryota; Metazoa; Arthropoda; Insecta; Hemiptera; Aphididae
Source: the annotation of a GenBank genome assembly
UAGUAAUGUAUUUUCGUACUCUGCACGCGUGUACUGCUAUAGUAGUUAUGUCGCCACGAGGAGAUAGCCGCCGGGGCUGAGGUCGAUACGCCAGUAUGCUUUUCAUCUUUUCGGAGGUAAACCGUAUCUCGGUUUCAAGAAAGGUCCACCGUGGAGACGAACCUAGUCCCGAGUCUGUAAAAGGACAUUUCUAUUCAUAAUACGAGUCCUACCGUAUGUAUCUUAAUUAUUUCUGUUCGAGUCCAUUACUAUUUCGUCGAUUACUUUUGCUUUUUUUUCAAACUCUGUUAUUUUCUGUUUUGAAAAUAUUAUUCCUCUAUUGUUAUGCGGUUCGGACAUGAUUGUCAGUACAUCAAUCGAAUAAUAAACGUUUGAACGCUGUAUUUGUAACAAUUCCAUUUCUCAUGAAAUGAUUCACUUAUAUUUGUUUACACAUUUAUUGUUGCUUUAUACUCGGCCUAAACACUCGGAGAAUAUGGACUAUCGCCUCCCAGUAUCGUCUUGAUUAUUAAUAUAUAUUUUCAAAACCAUAAUUACAAUUUUAAAACUACACGGAUCUUAUCGUCUGGAAGUAUUAUUGACACAAUACGUUUUCAAGAAAACACUGAUCAACUCCAUUUGAACUUAGAAAAUGAGGUACCUAAAUUUAAAUAUUAUUUUAAACGUUUGGUCUUUUAUGGCGUUCGAUCUAGAAUAUAAUAUAUUUUUCACGGAUUUAAAAUUACUUGACAAAUUUUAGAUUUUGGACUCGGUUUAACGAACGAUAAAUUAUUUGCGAUUUAGCUUGCGUGUCGGCUAUCGGUUUGUAACAUUAAAUAUCGUACAAAAUAUAUUAUAAUAUGAAUAUGGUAUGCAUUU